AGUGAACGCUGGCGGUAGGCCUAACACAUGCAAGUCGAACGGCAGCACAGUAAGAGCUUGCUCUUACGGGUGGCGAGUGGCGGACGGGUGAGGAAUACAUCGGCAUCUACUUUUUCGUGGGGGAUAACGUAGGGAAACUUACGCUAAUACCGCAUACGACCUACGGGUGAAAGCAGGGGAUCUUCGGACCUUUCGCGAUUGAAUGAGCCGAUGUCGGAUUAGCUAGUUGGCGGGGUAAAGGCCCACCAAGGCGACGAUCCGUAGCUGGUCUGAGAGGGUGAUCAGCCACACUGGAACUGAGACACGGUCCAGACUCCUACGGGAGGCAGCAGUGGGGAAUAUUGGACAAUGGGCGAAAGCCUGAUCCAGCCAUACCGCGUGGGUGAAGAAGGCCUUCGGGUUGUAAAGCCCUUUUGUUGGGAAAGAAAAGCAGCAGGUUAAUACCCCGCUGUUCUGACGGUACCCAAAGAAUAAGCACCGGCUAACUUCGUG
Molecule: ribosomal RNA, 492 nt
Filed under: uncultured bacterium
Lineage: Bacteria
Description: partial 16S ribosomal RNA
Rfam family: Bacterial small subunit ribosomal RNA
Source: RNAcentral